AUCACUUAGGCAGAAAUAUAUUAAAAUUGGAAUGAUACAGAGAAGAUUAGCAUGACCCCUGCUUAAGAAUGACAUGCAAAUUCAUGUAGUAUUCCAUAUUUUU
RNAcentral lists this small nuclear RNA (103 nucleotides) under Meriones unguiculatus (Mongolian gerbil). The record is from RNAcentral. Lineage: Eukaryota; Metazoa; Chordata; Mammalia; Rodentia; Muridae.